GUGACCUUACUUGAACAUGACAAAUCCUAUAGGUUGUAGAUCUCUGUCCUUGAGUUCUAAGGAGACAAGAACCAAAGUCGUCUCCAAAGUCUGGUGGAUGAACCACUGCCUUGCGGCUAGAGUGUGAUUAACGGUUCAAUGGACCUUGGUCUGACGGCUGUAGAGGAUCGUUCUCGGCAGGUUCGUCCUGCUGGGAUGGUCACAUGGCGGUCUGAUAGACU
This is a non-coding RNA of Benincasa hispida (wax gourd), 221 nucleotides long. The record is from RefSeq and is a predicted model, not a curated record. NCBI's taxonomy places the organism in Eukaryota, Viridiplantae, Streptophyta, Magnoliopsida, Cucurbitales, Cucurbitaceae.